RNAcentral lists this long non-coding RNA (747 nucleotides) under Piliocolobus tephrosceles (Ugandan red Colobus). RNAcentral describes it as "lncRNA (ENSPTEG00000037189.1)". Lineage: Eukaryota; Metazoa; Chordata; Mammalia; Primates; Cercopithecidae. The record is from RNAcentral.
AUCAGAGGCACCGAGGUCGGCCAGAAUGUGCUUGAGAAGAGCCAGCAGAGACUCAUCACGAAGGUCUAUGCUGAGGAGAUGGUGUUUGAGCCAAUCUCUUGAUAAUGCCAUGCUUGUGAUCCAAGCAGCAGGAUCCUGAUGGUCCCUAAAGGAGAGAUGAUAGAAGGUAUCCUGAAUGUCGGCGACUUCAAAUUUGCAAAGGCCAAAGCCUGUUAGGUCGGGCCUCCUGUUGGGUAAUGUGAUAGACUCUUAUCCCAUAGUUUUUUAAUUAUUUGUGUGAAUGUUUUUCUUUUUUACAGGACUAGAAACAAUUUAAAAAUGAGGACAAAUUCUGAUGGCCCACAGCAUAUUAUAGGGAAUAAUAGCAGGAAUAGCUACCAUGUAUCGAGUAAAUGAGCCUAUUCUGUUUAGUGCUUUACAUAGCUGAUUCUAGUUAAGCCUGACAAAAACCUUUGAGGCAGUAUUGUUCCCCCCACUACCCCCCCUUUUUUUUGACAGUUGAGAAAAAGAGAAACUGGGAAAGUUUAAGUAAUUUGCUCACAGCUACAUAGUUCUGUAUGCUAUUGAACAAGAAUUUGGUGACCUGUGCUUUGUGCUAAGCACUGAGAUCCAAAUGGUGAGCACAGCAAAUGUGGACACUCCCCACAUGUAGCUUAUAGUCCAUGGCAGAAGACAGACAUUAACCAAUAAUAACCAUAUAGCAAUGUAUAAUUACAACCUGUAAUAAAGUCUCUGCAGGGAAAAACA